Molecule: long non-coding RNA, 1239 nt
Filed under: Macaca fascicularis (crab-eating macaque)
Lineage: Eukaryota; Metazoa; Chordata; Mammalia; Primates; Cercopithecidae
Description: lncRNA (ENSMFAG00000048236.1)
Source: RNAcentral
AUGAGAAGAGAGAGGGGGAGGGGGUCCCGUUUUCAUCAGGCUUUUAUGGCUCCGCCUGGCCACACAGGGGGCUCCAGGGUUCUUGGAGCUCCGAGCUGCCUUCACCGCCCCUUCCCAGCCUGGGCAGGCGCCGUCUGGGCACCAGCCGUUCCUAUGGCGACAGCCGACCACGCGUCCGGCACAGCCGGGGCGCGGGCGGUUGCGCUCACCUGCGGGUGCAGGCUGGGAGGGCCAAGCGGUCUCCGCUCCAAGCCUGGGCGCUGGUGGAAACUCAGCGGGGCUGCAGGGAAAGGCGAAGCAUAUGCCCGCUGGCACCGGCUAACACUCUCGGCGGCUGAGACCGGCGACCUCGCUCCAGGAAUGCCACCAGACUCCCUGGCAGUGCUCGGGGGUCGCCGUCCAGCUCAACUGGUCGGGCCCCUUGCAGGGUGCGCCUCUCCCGCCCCCGCCAAUCCGGAGGACGUGGGCGGGCCUCGCACGCCACCCGCCAGGAGAAUGACCUUGGAAGGGAAGUUACCUGCCCUCUGGCCGGAGGUGCAACUGCAGCCAAAGAGGCGGAGGGGAGAUGGGUCGCCUUCCCCGGAGGCACGGACGCGUCCCCCGAUCUCGGCUACGCGGAGCCCCGGGCGUGACAGCAGGAGUCUCCGGGACCCGGGCUCAGCUCGGCCGCUCCCUCGCCGCAGCCGCCCACCUGUGACCACAGCCCGCCGCUGCCCGGGCGGCGCGCCCGCCUCUCCGCGCCGUCCUAGCCGCUCCUCCGCCCGCCCGGCUCGGUGCGCCAAGUCCACGCGCGCUUCCGGGUGCCCCGCCCCGGCGCCGGGGUUCCCCGCCUGCCCGCACGUGCGCCGCCAGCCGCCCGCGGAGCCCGCGGGCGAGGCUCCUCCUCCUGGCCCGCGGCCCUGGCGCUGGGAAGGGGAAAAUCGGCUCCCGAGAGCGCGUCUAGGAGGCAGGGGCAGGAGGCGGGUCCCGCACCUCCGGCCUGCCCCGCCCCGUCCCGCCCCAGAGGCUGCAGCCGGGCCCCGCCGGUGCCUGCGGGCGGCGAGUCGGUGGGACAGCCUCCGGAGCCCGGGAGUGCAGGCGAGGUGCGGAGACGGAAAUACGGGAAACCCGGGAACCCGGAGGAUUUCCGAACUACGUGAGACCGUGGAGCGGCCAGCCUUCAUUCAGACGCCGGCAACAGGCGGUGGGGGAGCUCUUCACCGCAAAAUGUUAUCCAAGUACCUCCCCCAGUUUCGCUGA